CCCUCAAUAUAUCUCAAGGAUCUUUCGGAAAAAAGAGGUCUAAUCUAGAAGUAGUCAUCAGUGAACAAUGAACCCUGAAGAUCUUCCAGGUCACGUGAUUCAAGGCCGAGACGAAGCGCUUCCAUGAUUCUUUCAAAAACCACUACGUGACAGGGAAUUCUCAACACUCCUUUUUGGUCGUAGCCAUAUUCCUGAGCAGACUUGUUAAGAAGUCCGAUGAAGAUCGGGUGGUUAAGUAGCUCCGCGCUCACCACAA
RNAcentral lists this unclassified non-coding RNA (256 nucleotides) under Hevea brasiliensis (rubber tree). The record is from RNAcentral. Lineage: Eukaryota; Viridiplantae; Streptophyta; Magnoliopsida; Malpighiales; Euphorbiaceae.